This 287-nucleotide ribosomal RNA is filed under the name uncultured bacterium. RNAcentral describes it as "partial 16S ribosomal RNA". It matches the Rfam family "Bacterial small subunit ribosomal RNA", at positions 773 to 1060 of the family's 1533-position model. The record is from RNAcentral.
GUGGAUUAGAUACCCGGGUUGUCCACGCUGUAAACGAUGGAUACUAGGUGUGGGAGGUAUCGACCCCUUCCGUGCCGCAGUUAACACAAUAAGUAUCCCGCCUGGGGAGUACGGCCGCAAGGUUGAAACUCAAAGGAAUUGACGGGGGCCCGCACAAGCAGCGGAGCAUGUGGUUUAAUUCGAAGCAACGCGAAGAACCUUACCAGAACUUGACAUCCCUUGCAUUACUCGUAACGGAGGAAAUCCUUCGGGACAAGGAGACAGGUGGUGCACGGUCGUCGUCAGCU